This 494-nucleotide ribosomal RNA is filed under the name uncultured bacterium. RNAcentral's name for it is "partial 16S ribosomal RNA". It matches the Rfam family "Bacterial small subunit ribosomal RNA", at positions 28 to 507 of the family's 1533-position model. The record is from RNAcentral.
GACGAACGCUGGCGGCGUGCUUAACACAUGCAAGUCGAACGGUGAAGCGCCUUCCUUUUUGGUGGGUGUGGAUGAGUGGCGAACGGGUGAGUAACACGUGAGUAACCUGCCCCCUUCUUCUGGAUAACCGCAUGAAAGUGUGGCUAAUACGGGAUAUUCUGGGUCUGUCGCAUGAUGGGUCUGGGAAAGAUAUUGUUUCGGUGGGGGAUGGGCUCGCGGCCUAUCAGCUUGUUGGUGGGGUGAUGGCCUACCAAGGCGGUGACGGGUAGCCGGCCUGAGAGGGUGGACGGUCACACUGGGGCUGAGGCACGGCCCAGACUCGUACGGGAGGCAGCAGUGGGGAAUAUUGCACAAUGGGCGCAAGACUGAUGCAGCGACGCCGCGUGAGGGAUGGAGGCCUUCGGGUUGUGAACCUCUUUCGCCAGUGAAGCAGGCCUGCCUCGUUUGUGGGUGGGUUGACGGUAGCUGGAUAAGAAGCGCCGGCUAACUACGUG